GGCCCAGUGGCAUGCGGGAUGAAUCUGCCAUUUUUGAUUCAACGUGAAGUCCAUAAGCAGAGGUUCCCGGUUCGACUCCGGGCUGGGCCA
This is a non-coding RNA of Mycena leptocephala, 90 nucleotides long. The record is from the annotation of a GenBank genome assembly. NCBI's taxonomy places the organism in Eukaryota, Fungi, Basidiomycota, Agaricomycetes, Agaricales, Mycenaceae.